UGAGCAAUCUGCCCUUCUCAUCGGAAUAAGCGUUGGAAACGACGUCUAAUGCCGAAUACGACCUCCUUUCGCAUGAUCGGAGGUGGAAAGCUCCGGCGGAGAAGGAUGAGCUCGCGGCCUAUCAGCUAGUUGGUGUGGGUAAUGGCCCACCAAGGCGACGACGGGUAGCCGGCCUGAGAGGGUGACCGGCCACACUGGGACUGAGACACGGCCCAAACUCCCGUACGGGGAGGNAGCG
RNAcentral lists this ribosomal RNA (238 nucleotides) under uncultured bacterium. RNAcentral describes it as "partial 16S ribosomal RNA". It matches the Rfam family "Bacterial small subunit ribosomal RNA", at positions 118 to 353 of the family's 1533-position model. The record is from RNAcentral.